AUGAAAUGUAAUGUUACUCUGUAUUCAACUCACUUUAAACAAAAUGAAAUGUUACAAAAUAAUUUAAUUAACAGGCAUAACUCGCAGCUUAUUCAAAUGACAAAUGAAUGGCUAUAUAAAAGCUUGAAAAAGUAUUUCUGGGAAAAAAUGAGGAAUUACACAAAAGUCGUAACAAACAGGUUCAAAAUAGCGAGUGAGGGUAAGAGAACAUACUAA
Vicia faba (fava bean) is the source of this 216-nucleotide non-coding RNA. NCBI's taxonomy places the organism in Eukaryota, Viridiplantae, Streptophyta, Magnoliopsida, Fabales, Fabaceae. The record is from the annotation of a GenBank genome assembly.